GACGAACGCUGGCGGCGUGCUUAACACAUGCAAGUCGAACGGUAAGGCCCUUCGGGGUACACGAGUGGCGAACGGGUGAGUAACACGUGGGUGAUCUGCCCUGCACUUCGGGAUAAGCCUGGGAAACUGGGUCUAAUACCGGAUAGGACCACUGCCUGCAUGGGUGGUGGUAGAAAGCUUUUGCGGUGUGGGAUGGGCCCGCGGCCUAUCAGCUUGUUGGUGGGGUGAUGGCCUACCAAGGCGACGACGGGUAGCCGGCCUGAGAGGGUGACCGGCCACACUGGGACUGAGAUACGGCCCAGACUCCUACGGGAGGCAGCAGUGGGGAAUAUUGCACAAUGGGCGCAAGCCUGAUGUAGCGACGCCGCGUGAGGGAUGACGGCCUUCGGGUUGUAAACCUCUUUCAGCACCGACGAAGCGCAAGUGACGGUAGGUGCAGAAGAAGGACCGGCCAACUACGUGCCAGCAGCCGCAGUAA
This 478-nucleotide ribosomal RNA is filed under the name uncultured bacterium. Its description in RNAcentral is "partial 16S ribosomal RNA". It matches the Rfam family "Bacterial small subunit ribosomal RNA", at positions 28 to 523 of the family's 1533-position model. The record is from RNAcentral.